GAAUUUUGGACAAUGGGGGAAACCCUGAUCCAGCCCUCCCGCGUGUGCGAUGAAGGCCUUCGGGUUGUAAAGCAUUUUUGGCAGGGAAGAAAAGGUUCUGGCUAAUACCCGGAACUGCUGACGGUACCUGCAGAAUAAGCACCGGCUAACGACGUGCCCGCAGCCGCGGGAAUACGUAAGGUGCAAGCGUUAGUCGGAAUUACUGGGGGGAAAACGUGCGCAGGCGGUAUGAAAAGAAGGGUGGGAAAACCCCGGGCCUAACCUUGGAACUGCAUUCUUAACUGCCAGGCUAGAGGAUGUCAGGGGGGGGUAGGAUUCCGCGUGUAGCAGUGAAAUGCGUAGGGAUGCGGAGGAAUACCGAUGGCGAAGGCAGCCCCCUGGGAUAAUACUGACGCUCAUGCACGAAAGCGUGGGGAGCAAACA
This 423-nucleotide ribosomal RNA is filed under the name uncultured bacterium. RNAcentral describes it as "partial 16S ribosomal RNA". It matches the Rfam family "Bacterial small subunit ribosomal RNA", at positions 359 to 774 of the family's 1533-position model. The record is from RNAcentral.